GACGAACGCUGGCGGCGUGCUUAACACAUGCAAGUCGAACGGAAAGGCCCUGCUAUUGUGGGGUGCUCGAGUGGCGAACGGGUGAGUAACACGUGAGUAACCUGCCCUUGACUUUGGGAUAACUUCAGGAAACUGGGGCUAAUACCGGAUAGGAGCCCCCGCUGCAUGGUGGGGGUUGGAAAUUUUCUGCGGUUGGGGAUGGACUCGCGGCUUAUCAGCUUGUUGGUGGGGUAGUGGCUUACCAAGGCUUUGGCGGGUAGCCCGCCCGAGAGGGUGACCGGCCACAUUGGGACUGAGAUACGGCCCAGACUCCUACGGGAGGCAGCAGUGGGGAAUAUUGCACAAUGGGCGGAAGCCUGGUGCAGCAACGCCGCGUGCGGGAUGACGGCCUUCGGGUUGUAAACCGCUUUCGCCUGUGACGAAGCGUGAGUGACGGUAACGGGUAAAGAAGCACCGGCUAACUACGUG
Molecule: ribosomal RNA, 468 nt
Filed under: uncultured bacterium
Lineage: Bacteria
Description: partial 16S ribosomal RNA
Rfam family: Bacterial small subunit ribosomal RNA
Source: RNAcentral